Molecule: non-coding RNA, 90 nt
Organism: Podarcis lilfordi (Lilford's wall lizard)
Lineage: Eukaryota; Metazoa; Chordata; Lepidosauria; Squamata; Lacertidae
Source: the annotation of a GenBank genome assembly
AUUGCCUGUGGUGCAAUGGAUUACUGUGUCUGGCUGUUAACCAGGAGAUUGGUGGUUCAAAGGUUGGUGGUUUGAGCCCACCCAGGGAUG